Non-coding RNA from Caenorhabditis elegans, 92 nucleotides. NCBI's taxonomy places the organism in Eukaryota, Metazoa, Nematoda, Chromadorea, Rhabditida, Rhabditidae. The record is from Ensembl.
CUCGAAAACAAAAGACUUGCCCCCACGCAGGAUUGAACUACGGACCUUUGGUUUACAAGACCAACGCUCUACCACUGAGCUAUAAGGGCGAC